Molecule: ribosomal RNA, 539 nt
Filed under: Arciellia xanthopleura
Lineage: Eukaryota; Metazoa; Arthropoda; Insecta; Diptera; Dolichopodidae
Description: partial 12S ribosomal RNA
Source: RNAcentral
GUGCCAGCAGCUGCGGUUAUACAAAAAAUACAAGUAAAUUUUAUUAAAUUAAGUUAAAUUGUAAAAUAUUUAAUAAUAAAAAAAUUUUUAGGUGAAAUUUUAAUUUUUUUAUUUUUAAAAAAGGAAAAUUUAUUGAAGCUAGAAAAUUUUGUUAAUAAACUAGGAUUAGAUACCCUAUUAUUAAAAAAUGUAUUUUAAAAAGUUAGAGUAGUAAUAGUUAUGUUCUUGAAACUCAAAAAAUUUGGCGGUAUUUUAGUCUAUUCAGAGGAACCUGUGGUGUAAUCGAUAAUCCACGAUGAAUCUUACUUAUUUUUGUUUUUCAAUUUGUAUACCGCCGUUAUUUAAAAAUUUUUUGAAAAUAAUAAUUUUUAUAAUUUUUUAUUAAAGAAAAAGUCAGGUCAAGGUGCAGUUUAUAUUUAAGUAUUUCAUGGGUUACAAUAAAUUUAUUUAUAUGGAUUAAAUUAUGUAAUUAGUUUAUGAAAGUGGAUUUGGUAGUAAAUUUUUAAAGAUUAAAAAAUUGAUUUUAGCUCUAAAAUAUG